Molecule: long non-coding RNA, 1923 nt
Organism: Cyprinus carpio (common carp)
Lineage: Eukaryota; Metazoa; Chordata; Actinopteri; Cypriniformes; Cyprinidae
Source: Ensembl
CUAAGAGCCAUUUCUAAAAUAUCAGCCAUUUAUUUCAAAUAUGAAUGACAGAUGAACGCCUGAUUUCCUUUAUGGAAUAAAUUUUGGAACUAGCAUGUACUUUUAAUGUAAGCUGUUUCAUCAAAACCUACAAUAUCAGUAGAAAGAAAUGAUUGUUGACUUUUUAUUUUCAUUUUUUGUAAUUAUUCUGAAUUUCAGAGCCUAAAGGCGCUGGAAUAGACGCCAGGAUCCCCUCCAACCCUACGAGCAGUUUGGAGAAGCUGGAUUUCAGAAUUUUGUUAGUAUAUCUAUGGUGCCCUUUUGCUGCAAUUAAAACAUGCAGUUGAGAUUGAGAAGACAUUCAUUUAUUAAUAGAUACAUGUUUUCAGUAGAAGUUUUAGCUAAUAUUCUGUAAGCCACAUACAGAAUGUUAAUCUUUUAUUUUCAGUUUAUUGCAGUGCACAUAACAGCACCAUGUGGCCUGGAGCAAACAAGCACAGUACUAACAACAGCCAACAGACCAGACAGCACAAUCCCAUCCUCUGUUCCAUUCAGCUGCUGAAGAGCCCACACAGCUCUUCCCCUGCUUUCUCUGCAAGCUCAGUUGAAUUGGAGAAGUCUGUACCAUCGUUUGGUUCUCCAGAUCCACAAACACAUUUCAGAUGACUUAAUUUUCAUGUUAUCAUCUUGGCUGCUGCAUAUUGGUUUCAUGAAUCUUGGUUUUAUGUAUAAGGAUAUUCAGGGAAAACUUGGAAUCCAGAAAAGAUGGCUGCAUUGUUCUGGGACUUGGAUGAUUCUACAACUCCUCCAAAGACACCAGCUCUACACUUACGGCAUACUAGCCCUUUGAGUUUCUAUGAUCAUUCACAUUGUAGUUCACCGAUGCAAGACAACUUAGAUUGGCCUUCAAGGGAGCAAGUGGAGUUCACAAGAUUAAACCCCUCCAGAAGUAAAGACAAGACAGAAGGAGAAUGGCAUAUGGUAACAGCCACUCGCUCAUUGCUUGGCAGGGAAAGAAGAGGCCAGAAGGAGGGUAUGCAGGACCAGCCGAGAGUGUCUUACAACAGCUUGCCAAGAGCGCAUUUUCUCCAGCCAAAUAGAGAAUCAAGUGCUUUUUCACCCUAUGCUAAUGACUUCUGCUUGAAUGGCAGAGAUGCCAAGAACAUUGCUGAGUCCCCCAGGAACAGUCGAAAGCUGCACCCGCUGACACAGCCAGGCUUCUACAGUCCAAAAAUCCCACGAUCAAAACACUGUGAAGCUGCACAGUCCACAAAAACGUCUUUAAAAGGAUCUUCUUCUACAAACAACUUGAAGGAGUUCUUUGCUCUCACGCUGCCUCUUCCGUGCUCCAAAACUGCUGUUCUCGAAACCAGCCCUUUGUGUUCCAGACCACAAAAAGUUAAAACGUUUGUGGUAGAAAAGCCUCCUUUGAUGAGAGCUGUGGUUUCUCAAACUUCAUCGACCUCAAAUAAACCUGACGAAAAGCACUUCAGCCAACUCGUGCCAAGAGAGCACCAUCUCAUCAAGAACCAGGACUGCAGUUUGUUCAGUCUGCAGGAACCCAAUAGGAAACCUCUUAGAAAUGACCAACCUAUCUGGAGCCAUCUGUUCCCUGAACGCCAGUCUAAAGCAGACCAGCCUGCAACGCUUUGUCCAAAAUUGGAAAAGGCAAGUCAUGAGAGAUCUACCUGGAGUGUUGACACUGAUAUUAAACUAUCUCAGGGUGACCCUGACUGGUCAUGUCAACUUCAAGCCAGCCCAGCUAAACGUGAUUGCAGCCCAAAACAAAAGAAGACACAGUACUCACAAAAUAGAGAAACCAGUGAUGUCAGGAACACUGAGGACAACCAUGUAAAAAGGUAAGCAGAUUUUAUAAUACUAUCUAAUAGUAUUGUGUAGUAGUGUUGCAAAUAGUAGUAGUAAUAAAAUGGAUUUAAAGGGACA